UACGUAGGGGGCAAGCGUUGUCCGGAAUUAUUGGGCGUAAAGGGCGCGCAGGCGGUCUUCUAAGUCUGAUGUGAAAUCCCACGGCUUAACCGUGGAAGGUCAUUGGAAACUGGAGGACUUGAGUGCAGAAGAGGAGAGUGGAAUUCCAUGUGUAGCGGUGAAAUGCGUAGAGAUAUGGAGGAACACCAGUGGCGAAGGCGACUCUCUGGUCUGCAACUGACGCUGAGGCGCGAAAGCGUGGGUAGCGAACAGGAUUAGA
Molecule: ribosomal RNA, 259 nt
Filed under: uncultured prokaryote
Description: partial 16S ribosomal RNA
Rfam family: Bacterial small subunit ribosomal RNA
Source: RNAcentral